RNAcentral lists this ribosomal RNA (589 nucleotides) under uncultured bacterium. Its description in RNAcentral is "partial 16S ribosomal RNA". It matches the Rfam family "Bacterial small subunit ribosomal RNA", at positions 355 to 1375 of the family's 1533-position model. The record is from RNAcentral.
UGGGGAAUUUUGGACAAUGGGCGAAAGCCUGAUCCAGCAAUGCCGCGUGUGUGAAGAAGGCCUUCGGGUUGUAAAGCACUUUUGUCCGGAAAGAAAUCCUUGGCUCUAAUACAGUCGGGGGAUGACGGUACCGGAAGAAUAAGCACCGGCUAACUACGUGCCAGCAGCCGCGGUAAUACGUAGGGUGCAAGCGUUAAUCGGAAUUACUGGGCGUAAAGCGUGCGCAGGCGGUUUGCUAAGACCGAUGUGAAAUCCCCGGGCUCAACCUGGGAACUGCAUUGGUGACUGGCAGGCUAGAGUAUGGCAGAGGGGGGUAGAAUUCCACGUGUAGCAGUGAAAUGCGUAGAGAUGUGGAGGAAUACCGAUGGCGAAGGCAGCCCCCUGGGCCAAUACUGACGCUCAUGCACGAAAAGCGUGGGGAGCAAACAGGAUUAGAUACCCUGGUAGUCCACGCCCUAAAACGAUGUCAACUAGUUGUUGGGGAUUCAUUUCCUUAGUAACGUAGCUAACGCGUGAAGUUGACCGCCUGGGGGAGUACGGUCGCAAGAUUAAAAACUUAAAGGAAUUGACGGGGUCAUAGCUGUUUCCU